This 249-nucleotide unclassified non-coding RNA is filed under the name plant metagenome. RNAcentral describes it as "partial contains small subunit ribosomal RNA, internal transcribed spacer 1, and 5.8S ribosomal RNA". The stretch from base 201 to 249 matches the Rfam family "5.8S ribosomal RNA", at positions 1 to 49 of the family's 154-position model. The record is from RNAcentral.
GCUCCGUAGGUGAACCUGCGGAGGGAUCAUUACAGAGUUCAUGCCCUACCGGGUAGAUCUCCCACCCUAUGUUAUUAUUACUUUGUUGCUUUGGCGGGCCGUUAGGCUCCGGCCCGACUACCGGCCCCGGCUGGUAAGCGCCCGCCAGAGGACCCAAAACCCUGAAUAUUAGUGUCGUCUGAGUACUAUAUAAUAGUUAAAACUUUCAACAACGGAUCUCUUGGUUCUGGCACCGAUGAAGAACGCAGC